CUGCCACACAGUGCUUUUAUUUUUAUUCAACUAUAAACAAACAGCAGAAUUAACACAACACUCAGCAAUUCCAGACUGGCUUUUGUUACACCAAUGAAGAGUGGUCAGUUUAAUAGACACAGACUCACGGAUCUGUGAUAACCUCUCACACAGCCCUGCUGUUCAUCUAGACAGUUGUGCCCCAACAGGGAAGUGAUACUCCCUGUUGCUCUUUCCAGUACUGCUCUCUAAAUGAGCUGGAGCAGAACACGGACACCUAAUAACCAACCCGAGGUGUGCAUACACUGGG
Long non-coding RNA from Phyllostomus discolor (pale spear-nosed bat), 289 nucleotides. RefSeq lists it as uncharacterized. NCBI's taxonomy places the organism in Eukaryota, Metazoa, Chordata, Mammalia, Chiroptera, Phyllostomidae. The transcript has 3 exons. The record is from RefSeq and is a predicted model, not a curated record.